UACGUAGGGGGCGAGCGUUGUCCGGAAUUACUGGGCGUAAAGGGCGCGUAGGCGGCCUGGUAAGUCUUGUGUGAAAACCCUACUUUCAAGGUAGGAGGUGCACGGGAAACUAUCGGGCUUGAGUGCAGGAGAGGGAAGUGGAAUUCCAAGUGUAGCGGUGAAAUGCGUAGAGAUUUGGAGGAACACCAGUGGCGAAGGCGACUUUCUGGACUGUAACUGACGCUGAAGCGCGAGAGCGUGGGGAGCAAACAGG
This 253-nucleotide ribosomal RNA is filed under the name uncultured bacterium. Its description in RNAcentral is "partial 16S ribosomal RNA". It matches the Rfam family "Bacterial small subunit ribosomal RNA", at positions 524 to 776 of the family's 1533-position model. The record is from RNAcentral.